This 410-nucleotide ribosomal RNA is filed under the name uncultured Pseudomonas sp. RNAcentral's name for it is "bacterial SSU rRNA". It matches the Rfam family "Bacterial small subunit ribosomal RNA", at positions 384 to 786 of the family's 1533-position model. Lineage: Bacteria; Pseudomonadati; Pseudomonadota; Gammaproteobacteria; Pseudomonadales; Pseudomonadaceae. The record is from RNAcentral.
UGAUCCAGCCAUGCCGCGUGUGUGAAGAAGGCCCUCGGGUCGUAAAGCACUUUAAGCUGGGAGGAAGGGUUGUAACCUAAUACGUUGCAGCUUUGACGUUACCAGCAGAAUAAGCACCGGCUAACUCUGUGCCAGCAGCCGCGGUAAUACAGAGGGUGCAAGCGUUAAUCGGAAUUACUGGGCGUAAAGCGCGCGUAGGUGGCUUGGUAAGUUGAAUGUGAAAUCCCCGGGCUCAACCUGGGAACUGCAUCCAAAACUGCCUGGCUAGAGUACGGUAGAGGGUGGUGGAAUUUCCUGUGUAGCGGUGAAAUGCGUAGAUAUAGGAAGGAACACCAGUGGCGAAGGCGACCACCUGGACUGAUACUGACACUGAGGUGCGAAAGCGUGGGGAGCAAACAGGAUUAGAUACC